Molecule: non-coding RNA, 4058 nt
Organism: Arvicanthis niloticus (Nile rat)
Lineage: Eukaryota; Metazoa; Chordata; Mammalia; Rodentia; Muridae
Source: RefSeq, a predicted model, not a curated record
GCGCCCCAAGUUCUUCCGACUUCUUCUGGGACAGGGAGGGUGGUUGUCUUGGUGACCGCUCCUAACGGUCCGGUAGCCCCGAGAUACUUGUUGAGGGGUUGCAGCCUGGGCUGCUGACUGCAGACGCCAGUGGUUCUUCCAAGUGUCCGAAGUGAAGGUGGUUUUAGCCUUCCACGCGGAGUUACUGACGCUUGAGAGAAGAUUGAUUCAAAUAACAAAAUGUCUCGAAAAAUUGCCAAGGAAUCAAAAAAAGUAAAUAUCUCCAGUUCUCUGGAAUCUGAAGAUAUUAGUUUAGAAACAACCAUUCACACAGAUGAUGUUUCCUCAUCAGAAGAGCGAGAGGGUAAAGUCAAAAUCACCAGGCAGUUAAUCGAAAGAAAAGAAAUACUUCAUAAUAUUCAGUUACUAAAAAUCGAGCUAUCCCAAAAAAACAUGAUGAUCGACAACUUGAAAAUGGACUAUCUUACAAAGAUUGAAGAGCUGGAGGAAAAACUUAAUGACGCCCUUCACCAGAAGCAGCUGCUGACUUUGCGAUUAGACAAUCAGUUGACUAUCCAACAGAAAGAUGCCAAAAAAUACCAAGAACUAAUGAAACAAGAAAUGGAAACCAUUUUGUUGAGACAAAAGCAACUGGAAGAGACAAAUCAUCAGCUAAGAGAAAAGGCUGGGGAUGUUCGUCGAAAUCUGCGAGACUUUGAGCUGACAGAAGAGCAGUAUGUGAAGCUAAAAUCCUUUCCUGAAGAUCAACUUUCUAUUCCUGAAUAUGUAUCUAUUCGGUUCUAUGAGCUAGUAAAUCCAUUAAGAAAGGAAAUCUAUGAACUACAAGUGAAGAAGAAUGAACUAUCUGAAGAAUUAAGUGCAAAUAAAGACCAGCUGAAGCAGCUGACGGAGACAUAUGAAGAAGAUCGAAGAAACAACUCUGAACUUCUAACUCGAUGUCAACGUUUAGCCUUAGAAUUAGCAGACACAAGACAGUUAGUCCAGCAAGGUGAUUACCGUCAAGAGAACUAUGACAAAGUGAAGAGUGAACGUGAUGCUUUUGAACAGGAAGUACUUGAGGUUAGAAGAAAACAUGAAAUACUUGAAGCCUCUCACAUAGCUCAAGCUAAAGAAAGGAAUGAAUUAUCAAAAGAGGUAACCACCUUGCAGCAGACAGUCACCCUACUGCAGAAAGAUAAAGAAUACCUCAAUCGCCAAAAUAUGGAGCUGAGUGUACGCUGUGCCCACGAAGAGGAUCGCCUUGAAAGGCUGCAAGUUCAGCUGGAGGAGACCAAAAAGGCUAGAGAAGAGAUGUAUGAGAAAUAUGUCACGUCCAGAGACCAUUAUAAAACAGAAUAUGAAAAUAAACUACAUGAUGAAUUGGAACAAAUCAAAUUGAAAACUAAUCUAGAAAUUGAUCAGCUUCGAAGUGCCUCUAGGGAAAUGUAUGAACGAGAAAACAGAAAUCUCCGUGAAGCAAGGGAUAAUGCUCUCGCUGAAAAGAACCGAGCAGUGGCGGCAGAAAAAGAUGCUCUAGAAAAGCACGAGCAGCUCCUAGACAGGUACAGAGAACUCCAGCUUAGUACAGAAAGCAAAGUGUCAGAAUUUCUCCAUCAGAGUCAGCUGAAGUCCUUUGAAAGUGAGCGUGUUCAACUCCUGCAAGAGGAAACUGCAAGAAAUCUUACACAGUGCCAGUUGGAGUGUGAAAAAUAUCAGAAGAAAUUGGAGGUUUUAACUAAAGAAUUUUAUAGUCUCCAAACUUCUUCUGAAAAACGCAUUACCGAGCUAGAGGCGCAGAACUCGGAGCAUCAGGCAAGGUUAGACAUUUACGAGAAACUGGAAAAGGAGCUUGAUGAAAUAAUCAUGCAAACAGCAGAAAUUGAAAAUGAAGAUGAGGCUGAAAGAAUCCUGUAUUCCUAUGGCUAUGGUGCUAAUGUUCCCACAACAGCUAAAAGACGACUGAAGCAGAGUGUCCACUUGGCAAGAAGAGUUCUUCAGUUAGAAAAACAAAAUUCAUUAAUUUUAAAAGAUCUGGAACAUCAAAAGAACCAAGUAAGACAGCUUUCACAAGAGGUGAGUAGCUGGAUCAGAAGACCUAGAAAGAAGCAUGCUGCUUUCUCUGUGCAUGCCUUGUUAACACCUACAGUUACUUGCUGAGCAGUCUGAAAAUAAGCUGGUCACAACAUGAUUUCAAACUUGUAAACUUCACCGAAUGUUGAGAGUCCUAAAUAGCUUAGUGUGUAUGGCAAAGCAGAAGAGAGGGGAAAUGGAAUGCCCAGAACGAGGAAGUGUGAUGGAGGCUAGUCACAGAGCCUCAGCCCUGAGAGCAUCCACUGGCAAGACAAGCUUGGCAGAUUUUGUUGACAUUAUUUUCUCACUGACAACUGAGUUUUAAAUAUUUGAAUUUUUUAAAGUUUCUGUUUAAUUAAAAAAUACCAAGUCUUUUAAAUUUUUUGUUUUUAUUGAAAAAAGUUUUUCAUAUACUAUAUUUUGAUCAUGUUUUCCCCUCCUCAAUUCCUCCCAGAUCUCCCUUCUCACCCAAUCUUGUUUUCUGUCUAUCUCCAGAAAAAGAAAAAAAAAAAGACAAAAAUAAAUCAAGUCAAAAACAAUCACAACAAAACAAAUCAAAAUGAAACAAACAGUCCACAAAAAUACCCUUGAGUUUGUUUGCUUUGUGUUGGCCAAGUACUCCUGGCACAGGGUUGCACUGAGUGUGGUUGGUAUAGACAGUGAGAUACCAUUAAGAGAGAACCUGUUUUCUUUUUUGUAAGUUAUAUCAGUUGCAGGUAGUUUCUUGAUUAGGGCUGGAAGCCUGUCUUAGUUGGUAUUAAUAUUGCUGUGUUGCCUUACACUUCCAUAUUGCUAUUCAUCAUCAAAGGAAGUUAGGACAGGAACUCAGAACAGGAACCUGGAAGCAGGAACAAAUGCAGACAUCAUAGACAAGUGCUGUUCCUCGUGGCUUUCUCAAUCUGCUUUCUUUUAGAGCCCAGAACCACCAGCCCAGAGGUGGCCCCACUCACAAUGGGCUGGGUCCUCCCACAUUAAUCACUAAUUAAGAAAAUGUUCCUGAGAGGGCUGGAGAGAUGGCUCAGUGGUUAAGAGCACUGACUGCUCUUCCAGAGGUCCAGAGUUAAAUUCCCAGCAACCACAUGGUGGCUCACAACCAUGGGAUUUGAUGCCAUCCUAUGGUGUAUGUAAAGAGAAUGACCUUGUACAUUGUACUCACAUACAUAAAUAAAUAAAUAUUUUUUUUAAAAAAUGUUCUAAAGGCUUUUGUCAAAUUGACAAAAACCUAGUGAAAACAGAUGACAUGUUCACCUUGCCCACUCAAUGUUGGCCCACUGCCUGGAACCUCUGCAGGUAUUGGGCAUUCUGCCAUAGUGUGAGUGCUAUAUGCAUGAAGUCCACGUUUGGCCUCUUUGUUUUCUUAAGAACCUGUUCCUUUAUCCUUAUAGUAUCUACUGAUAAAGCAUUUUUAAUGGUAAGAGGGUCUCUACACUAAGUGUUGAAAUGAGAAUAAGAAACAUCAGAGAUUAAGGUAGAUACAAUGGAAUGUGGGCAGAUGCCAACAAUGAUUAUAACAGGAGGAGAGGGGAGCUCCGUUGUCUGUGCUUACUCGUAUCUGUGGCCUAGGACUAACCAUAGGCUGUCUCUCUAACCACCAAGCCUUAUGAAGAAAGGUCUUCAGCAAACAUUAUUAUAAGAUUUAGACUGUCUAGGUGUAGUACACAUCUGUGAACUCACACAGAGGAAAUGUAACAUAACAUUUGGUGAACAUUUGACUACAUAUUCCUUUGUCUUUAAUAGAAUUGACCUUUGUAUAUAUUUAUGUACAUUUUAAUUUUGAUUGCAUUUAACAACAACCUCACAAAAUUCUACAAAUUUACUGUUGCUACAAGUAAGUUCUAGCAUACUUUUAGGUGCAAAUAGCAAUAAAAUAAUCAAAGGAAACCAAGUAUAAUGGCUCAUGUAUAACCCCAGCACUCAGGAAGCAAAGGGAGGAAGAUUAUCAUUAGGAAUCCAUGGAGAACCUAGGGCACUAAAAGAAACCCAUCUCAAAAAAAAAAAAAAAAAAAAAA